UACGAGUGCCCCGAGCGUUAUCCGGAAUCAUUGGGCGUAAAGGGUGUGUAGGUGGUCUUGUUAGUCUUCUGUCAAAUUCUUCGGCUUAACCGGGGGUCCGCAGGGGAAACGGCAAGACUCGAGGAUGCGAGGGGUGAAUGGAACUCAUAGUGGAGGGGUGAAAUCCGUUGAUAUUGGGAAGAACACCAGUGGCGAAGGCGGCUAACUGGUCCAGUACUGACGCUGAGGUGCGAAAGCGUGGGGAGCAAACAGG
RNAcentral lists this ribosomal RNA (253 nucleotides) under uncultured bacterium. RNAcentral describes it as "partial 16S ribosomal RNA". It matches the Rfam family "Bacterial small subunit ribosomal RNA", at positions 524 to 776 of the family's 1533-position model. The record is from RNAcentral.